GACGAACGCUGGCGGCGUGCUUAACACAUGCAAGUCGAACGGAAAGGCCCUGCUUGCAGGGUACUCGAGUGGCGAACGGGUGAGUAACACGUGGGUGAUCUGCCCUGCACUUCGGGAUAAGCCUGGGAAACUGGGUCUAAUACCGGAUAGGAGCCAUUUUUAGUGUGAUGGUUGGAAAGUUUUUUCGGUGUAGGAUGAGCUCGCGGCCUAUCAGCUUGUUGGUGGGGUAAUGGCCUACCAAGGCGGCGACGGGUAGCCGGCCUGAGAGGGUGGACGGCCACAUUGGGACUGAGAUACGGCCCAGACUCCUACGGGAGGCAUCAGUGGGGAAUAUUGCACAAUGGGCGCAAGCCUGAUGCAGCGACGCCGCGUGGGGGAUGACGGCCUUCGGGUUGGAAACUCCUUUCGCUAGGGACGAAGCUUUUUGUGACGGUACCUAGAGAAGAAGCACCGGCUAACUACGUG
RNAcentral lists this ribosomal RNA (465 nucleotides) under uncultured bacterium. Its description in RNAcentral is "partial 16S ribosomal RNA". It matches the Rfam family "Bacterial small subunit ribosomal RNA", at positions 28 to 507 of the family's 1533-position model. The record is from RNAcentral.